CCCUUAGAUGUCCGGGGCCGCACGCGCGCUACACUGAAGGAAUCAGCGUGGCUUUCUCCCUGACCCGAAAGGGUUGGGAAACCCGUUGCAUCUCCUUCGUGAUAGGGAUUGGGGCUUGAAAUUGUUCCCCAUGAACGAGGAAUUCCCAGUAAGCGCGAGUCAUAAGCUCGCGUUGAUUACGUCCCUGCCCUUUGUACACACCGCCCGUCGCUACUACCGAUUGAACGGUUUAGUGAGGGCCUCGGAUUGGUCUCGGCCCGCUCUUUACCGGGCGGCGCCGUUGGUCGAGAAGACGCUCGAACUUGAUCGUUUAGAGGAAGUAAAAGUCGUAACA
This 334-nucleotide ribosomal RNA is filed under the name uncultured eukaryote. Its description in RNAcentral is "partial 18S ribosomal RNA". It matches the Rfam family "Eukaryotic small subunit ribosomal RNA", at positions 1470 to 1796 of the family's 1831-position model. The record is from RNAcentral.